CCUACGGGCGGCAGCAGUGGGGAAUAUUGGACAAUGGGGGCAACCCUGAUCCAGCCAUGCCGCGUGUGUGAAGAAGGCCCUCGGGUUGUAAAGCACUUUCAGUGAGGAAGAACGCCUGGUGGUUAAUACCCAUCAGGAAAGACAUCACUCACAGAAGAAGCACCGGCUAACUCCGUGCCAGCAGCCGCGGUAAUACGGAGGGUGCGAGCGUUAAUCGGAAUUACUGGGCGUAAAGCGCGCGUAGGUGGCUUGAUAAGCCGGUUGUGAAAGCCCCGGGCUCAACCUGGGAACGGCAUCCGGAACUGUCAAGCUAGAGUGCAGGAGAGGAAGGUAGAAUUCCCGGUGUAGCGGUGAAAUGCGUAGAGAUCGGGAGGAAUACCAGUGGCGAAGGCGGCCUUCUGGACUGACACUGACACUGAGGUGCGAAAGCGUGGGUAGCAAACAGGAUUAGAUACCCCGGUAGUU
This 465-nucleotide ribosomal RNA is filed under the name Vreelandella stevensii. Its description in RNAcentral is "partial 16S ribosomal RNA". It matches the Rfam family "Bacterial small subunit ribosomal RNA", at positions 338 to 795 of the family's 1533-position model. Lineage: Bacteria; Pseudomonadati; Pseudomonadota; Gammaproteobacteria; Oceanospirillales; Halomonadaceae. The record is from RNAcentral.